RNAcentral lists this ribosomal RNA (458 nucleotides) under uncultured bacterium. RNAcentral describes it as "partial 16S ribosomal RNA". It matches the Rfam family "Bacterial small subunit ribosomal RNA", at positions 338 to 795 of the family's 1533-position model. The record is from RNAcentral.
CCUACGGGAGGCAGCAGUGAUGAAUAUUGGUCAAUGGGCGAGAGCCUGAACCAGCCAAGUCGCGUGAGGGAGUACUGCCCUAUGGGUUGUAAACCUCUUUUGUCGGGGAGCAAAAGCCGGACGUGUCCGGCUGUGAGAGUACCCGAAGAAAAAGCAUCGGCUAACUCCGUGCCAGCAGCCGCGGUAAUACGGAGGAUGCGAGCGUUAUCCGGAUUUAUUGGGGUUAAAGGGUGCGCAGGCGGAUUUUUAAGUCAGCGGUCAAAUCGUGGGGCUCAACCCCCUCCAGCCGUUGAAACUGGGGAUCUAGAGUGUGCGAGAGGUAUGCGGAAUGCGUGGUGUAGCGGUGAAAUGCAUAGAUAUCACGCAGAACCCCGAUUGCGAAGGCAGCAUACCGGUGCACAACUGACGCUCAGGCACGAAAGCGUGGGUAUCGAACAGGAUUAGAUACCCUUGUAGUC